GUGCCAGCAGCCGCGGUAAUACGUAGGUCACAAGCGUUACCCGGUUUUAUUGGGCGUAAAGCGUCUGUAGGUGGUUUUGCAAGUCUUGUUUCAAAGACCUCGGCUCAACCGAGGGCAGGGGCAGGAUACUGUAAGACUAGAGUGAUAUCGGGGUUACUGGAAUUUUUAGUGUAGGGGUAAAAUCCGUGAUACUAAAAAGAACACCAAGCGCGAAGGCGGGUAACCAGGUAUUUACUGACACUCAGAGACGAAAGCUAGGGUAGCCAAUCAGAUUAGAGACCUGAGUAGUCCUAGCCGUAAACGAUGUAUGUUAAUUCUCUGCAAUUUAUUGUGGGGGAUGUAAGCUAACGCGUUAAACAUACCGCCUGGGGAGUAUAGCCGCAAGGCCGAAACUCAAACGAAUUGGCGGGGAGGCGCACAACCAGUGGAGCAUGUGGUUCAAUUCGAUACAAAGCGAUGAACCUUACCUGGGUUUGACAUGUAUCUGCAAACUCCCAGAAACGGGAGAAUCCUUCGAGGGUGAUACACAGCUGUUGCAUGGCUGUCGUCAGCUCGUGACGUGAGUUGUUCUCUUAAGUGAGGUAACGAGCGCAACCCCCAUCCGGUGUUACUGUGUCACCGGAGACUGCCUAGCAUUAUUUUGUUAGGAGGAAGGAGGGGACGACGUCAAGUCAGCAUGAUGCUUAUGUCCAGGGCUACACACAUCCUACAAUGGGGAGUACAAUGGGUCGCAAAACCGCGAGGUGGAGCUAAUCCCACAAAACUUCCCUCAGUUGGGACUGCAGGCUGAAACUCGCCUGCACGAACCCGGAAUUGGUAGUAAUCGCGCAUCAGCAGCGCGCGGUGAAUACGUUCUCGCCUCUUGCACACACCGCCCGUC
This 880-nucleotide ribosomal RNA is filed under the name uncultured bacterium. Its description in RNAcentral is "bacterial SSU rRNA". It matches the Rfam family "Bacterial small subunit ribosomal RNA", at positions 505 to 1398 of the family's 1533-position model. The record is from RNAcentral.